Molecule: ribosomal RNA, 251 nt
Filed under: uncultured bacterium
Lineage: Bacteria
Description: partial 16S ribosomal RNA
Rfam family: Bacterial small subunit ribosomal RNA
Source: RNAcentral
UACGUAGGUCCCGAGCGUUAUCCGGAUUUAUUGGGCGUAAAGCGAGCGCAGGCGGUUGGAUAAGUCUGAAGUUAAAGGCUGUGGCUUAACCAUAGUAUGCUUUGGAAACUGUUCAACUUGAGUACAGAAGGGGAGAGUGGAAUUCCAUGUGUAGCGGUGGAAUGCGUAGAUAUAUGGAGGAACACCGGUGGCGAAAGCGGCUCUCUGGUCUGUAACUGACGCUGAGGCUCGAAAGCAUGGGUAGCGAACAG